AAUGUCUUUGUUUUCAAAAGAAAAGAAAAUAUUUUAUCAAUUUAAAUAUCAUCAAAUUGAUCAGAAAUAGUGUAAACAUUGUUUAUGGUGUGAAUGACUAUUGUAGCUGGAAACAUGAUUUUUAAUGGAAUAUGUAAAUAGACGUACUAAGGCCCAUUAUCAGCAACAAUCAGCCCUGUGUUCCAAUGGCAUGUUGUUUGCUAAUCAGAGUUUAUCAUUUUAAAAGGCUAAUUGAUCAUUAGAAAACCCUUUUUCCAUUUGUUUUUCUGAGAAAUUAAGGCUAUUACAUGCAAUAAAUUGCCAAGAAACUGAAGAUCUCGUACAACACUGUGUACUAGUCCAUUAACAAAACAGCGCCCAAUGUCUCUAAUCAGAAUAGAAAGAAUGGGAGGCCCCGGUGCACAACUGAGCAAGAGGACAAAUACAUUAGUGUCUAGUUCAGAAACAGGUGCCUCACAAUGUCCUCAGCUAGCAUCUUCAUUAAAUAGUACCUGCAAAACACCAGUCUCAAUGUCAACAGUGAAGAGGCGACUCUAGGAUGCUGGCCUUCUAGGCAGAGUAGCAAGGAAAAAGCUAUAUCUCAGAUUGCGGAUCAUGAUUAUGGAUCGUGUUUCAUAUUUACAGAUCAUAAAAUAUUUGUUUGUAGAAUUUGUGCAAUUGUAGAUUUUUAUGUAGUAUAAGCGUCACAAAACUUGAGUCAAAAUAUAAUGUGAUCCACAAAUAGUGAAUUUACUGUUUGAUGUAAUCGUAAAUCAUUUUUCAUGUCUUAAAAUCCUUGCUUUGAGGUAAAAGUAGAAAGGAGUUUAUUUAUGGGUAGCAAAAUAUAUUUGUGGAUCAUGUUUUGUAUUUGCAGAUAAUGAGCCAUUUGUUUGUGGAUGUUACAUUCCUUUGUAAAUUGUAUUUUCUGUUUACACAUUGUAAUAUACAUUUGUAAAUUGUGGUCUGCAAUUCUAUCUCCAUAGUUUUGUCCUGUCAUGCUUGAACAUGUUUUAAUAGGUAUUCAAUAGCCUGUUUAUAGCCUGUUUUGUCCUGUCAUGCUUGAACAUGUUUUAAUAGGUAUUCAAUAGCCUGUUUAUAGCCUGUUUUGUCCUGUCAUGCUUGAACAUGUUUUAAUAGGUAUUCAUUAGCCUGUUUAUAGCCUGUUUUGUCGUGUCAUGCUUGAACAUGUUUAAUAGGUAUUCAAAAUAGCCUGAUUUGUCCUGUCAUGCUUGAACAUGUUUAAUAGGUAUUCAAAAUAGCCUGUUUUGUCCUGUCUUGCUUGAACAUGUUUAAUAUGUAUUCAAAAUAGCCUGUUUUGCUGUGCUUUGUCAUGUUCACUAUGUAAUUUUGAGUCAAACAUAUUUAUUCGCAUUGAUGAUAAUGUUAAAAACCGUAAGGCCUCAAGGGGGGUCCCACAACAAUUUGGUUAGGCCUUUACCAGGCCCACCACAUGUUAAUUUUCUAUUGCUUGAUGAGCUGUUCGCUAGCACACGUGGGUACAUCUAAACCUAGUGAAUUAGAAAUUGGUACAAUGAUCUCAUGGUUUUCUUACAAAAGGUUAAAAUAUUGUGUUUUCUCUAUUCUUGUAUAUUGUAUAAGUGGUAGAAUAAAGAAUCCACAUGGUGG
Esox lucius (northern pike) is the source of this 1605-nucleotide long non-coding RNA. Lineage: Eukaryota; Metazoa; Chordata; Actinopteri; Esociformes; Esocidae. The record is from Ensembl.